AGAAAGCGUAAUAGCUCACUGGUCAAGCGAACCUGCGCCGAAAAUAUAACGGGGCUCAAGAUCGACACCGAAGACGCGGGCUUCUUAGGAAGCGGUAGAGGAGUACUCUGACGCAGAUACACGCUGGACGGAAACGACCGGUACCGGGCGUCAGAGGAGCUUAUGCAGGCAUGAGUAGCGAUAAACCGAGUGAGAAACUCGGUCGCCGUAAGUCCAAGGUUUCCUGGGGUAGGAUAAUCCUCCCAAGGGUGAGCCGGUCCCUAAGUCGAGGCCGCGAGGCGUAGAUGAUGGAAAGCAGGUUAAUAUUCCUGCGCCAGACAGGGUGGCAUUGAAGUGAGCGGGGACGGAGUAGGAUAGCUGAGCACCGUGAAUGGAUCGGUGUUUAAGCCUGUAGGUGUUUCCCGUAGGAGUCGAUAGACACAAACGCGGGGAAGAGUAGCCGAGAGGUGAUGAGGCGGUUCUUCGGAGCCGAAACUCAGUGAUUCCAGACUUCCAAGAAAAGCCGCGCACAGAGCCUCUUGUUUGACCGUACUGCAAACCGACUCAGGUGGACGGGAAGAAUAUUCCAAGGCGCGUGAGAGAACCCUGGUUAAGGAACUCGGCAAAUUGACACCGUAACUUCGGGAGAAGGUGUGCCUUUGCGCGUGAAGGAGAACAUCCGGAGCGUGCGGAGGUCGCAGAGAAUCGGGGGUUGUGACUGUUUACUAAAAACCUAGCACUCUGCGAAGUCGCAAGACGACGUAUAGGGUGUGAUGCCUGCCCGGUGCUGGAAGGUUAAGGGGAAUUGUCAGCGCAAGCGAAGCAAUGAACCGAAGCCCCAGUAAACGGCGGCCGUAACUAUAACGGUCCUAAGGUAGCGAAAUUCCUUGUCGGGUAAGUUCCGACCUGCACGAAUGGCAUAACAACAUCCCCGCUGUCUCGACCAGGGACUCAGCGAAAUUGUAUUGGGGGUGAAGAUACCCUCUACCCGUGGCAAGACGGAAAGACCCCAUGAACCUUUACUGCAACUUGGCAGUGAAUUUCGGGGCAAUCUGCGUAGGAUAGGUGGGAGACUUUGAUGUCGGGCUUCCGGGUUCGGCGGAGUCACCGUUGAAAUACCACCCUGAUUGCUCUGGGAUUCUAACCUGCGUCCGUCAUCCGGACGAGGGACACUGCCUGGUGGGCAGUUUGACUGGGGCGGUCGCCUCCAAAAACGUAACGGAGGCGUGCGAAGGUUCCCUCAGGUUGAUUGGAAACCAACCGUAGAGUGCAAACGCACAAGGGAGCUUAACUGUGAGACCGACAGGUCGAACAGGUGCGAAAGCAGGCGUUAGUGAUCCGGUGGUCCCGCAUGGAAGGGCCAUCGCUCAUCGGAUAAAAGGUACUCUGGGGAUAACAGGCUGAUCGCGCCUGAGAGUUCACAUCGGCGGCGCGGUUUGGCACCUCGAUGUCGGCCCAUCGCAUCCUGGGGCUGGAGCAGGUCCCAAGGGUUCGGCUGUUCGCCGAUUAAAGCGGUACGCGAGCUGGGUUUAAAACGUCGUGAGACAGUUUGGUCCCUAUCUGCCAUGGGCGAAGGAUACUUGAGAGGAGCUGACCUUAGUACGAGAGGACCAGGUUGGACGCACCCCUGGUGAGCCAGUUGUCGCGCCCGCGGCAUAGCUGGGUAGCCAUGUGCGGAACGGAUAACCGCUGAAAGCAUCUAAGCGGGAAGCCGGCCUCAAGACCAAGUAUCCCAGGCGCAAGCCUCUAAAGACCCGUUGU
RNAcentral lists this ribosomal RNA (1740 nucleotides) under activated sludge metagenome. Its description in RNAcentral is "bacterial LSU rRNA". It matches the Rfam family "Bacterial large subunit ribosomal RNA", at positions 1127 to 2841 of the family's 2925-position model. The record is from RNAcentral.